This 468-nucleotide ribosomal RNA is filed under the name uncultured bacterium. RNAcentral's name for it is "partial 16S ribosomal RNA". It matches the Rfam family "Bacterial small subunit ribosomal RNA", at positions 28 to 507 of the family's 1533-position model. The record is from RNAcentral.
GACGAACGCUGGCGGCGUGCUUAACACAUGCGAGUCGAACGGAAAGGCCCUGCUUUUGUGGGGUGCUCGAGUGGCGAACGGGUGAGUAACCCGUGAGUAACCUGCCCUUGACUUUGGGAUAACUUCAGGAAACUGGGGCUAACACCGGAUAGGAGCUCCUGCUGCAUGGUGGGGGUUGGAAAGUUUCGGCGGUUGGGGCUGGACUGGCGGGUUAUCAGCUUGUUGGUGGGGUAGUGGCUUACCAAGGGUUUGACGGAUAGCCGGCCUGGGAGGGUGACCGGCGACAUGAGUACUGAGGGACGCCGCAGACGCCAACGUGGGGCAGCGGGGGGAAGUAUGGUACAGUGGGGGGAAGUGUGUGAAGGCGGUGCCGCGAGCGUGAAGACGUCUUACGUGGGGUGAACCGCUUUAGGCUAAGACGAAGCGGGAGUGACGUUAAUAAGAGAAGAAGCACCGGCUAACUACGUG